Molecule: ribosomal RNA, 253 nt
Filed under: uncultured bacterium
Lineage: Bacteria
Description: partial 16S ribosomal RNA
Rfam family: Bacterial small subunit ribosomal RNA
Source: RNAcentral
UACGUAGGGUGCAAGCGUUGUCCGGAAUUAUUGGGCGUAAAGAGCUUGUAGGCGGUUUGUCGCGUCUGCUGUGAAAAUCCGGGGCUCAACCCCGGACUUGCAGUGGGUACGGGCAGACUAGAGUGUGGUAGGGGAGACUGGAAUUCCUGGUGUAGCGGUGAAAUGCGCAGAUAUCAGGAAGAACACCAAUGGCGAAAGCAGCUUUCUGGGACGGUACUGACGCUGAGACGCGAAAGCGUGGGGAGCGAACAGG